Molecule: small nuclear RNA, 93 nt
Filed under: Suricata suricatta (meerkat)
Lineage: Eukaryota; Metazoa; Chordata; Mammalia; Carnivora; Herpestidae
Description: U2 spliceosomal RNA (ENSSSUG00005012854.1)
Rfam family: U2 spliceosomal RNA
About the family: U2 is a small nuclear RNA (snRNA) component of the spliceosome (involved in pre-mRNA splicing). Complementary binding between U2 snRNA (in an area lying towards the 5' end but 3' to hairpin I) and the branchpoint sequence (BPS) of the intron results the bulging out of an unpaired adenosine, on the BPS, which initiates a nucleophilic attack at the intronic 5' splice site, thus starting the first of two transesterification reactions that mediate splicing.
Source: Rfam by way of RNAcentral
AUCGCUUCUCGGCCUUUUGGCUAAGAUCAAGUGUAGUAUUGCUUCCUUUAUGAUAGUGUCUGAUAGAUUUCCCAAGGUAAAAAUAUAACUUUC